CCUACGGGGUGCAUCAGUGAGGAAUAUUGGUCAAUGGACGAGAGUCUGAACCAGCCAAGUAGCGUGAAGGAUGACUGCCCUAUGGGUUGUAAACUUCUUUUAUAUGGGAAUAAAAUGUUCCACGUGUGGGAUUUUGUAUGUACCAUAUGAAUAAGGAUCGGCUAACUCCGUGCCAGCAGCCGCGGUAAUACGGAGGAUCCGAGCGUUAUCCGGAUUUAUUGGGUUUAAAGGGAGCGUAGGUGGAUUGUUAAGUCAGUUGUGAAAGUUUGCGGCUCAACCGUAAAAUUGCAGUUGAAACUGGCAGUCUUGAGUACAGUAGAGGUGGGCGGAAUUCGUGGUGUAGCGGUGAAAUGCUUAGAUAUCACGAAGAACUCCGAUUGCGAAGGCAGUUCACUGGACUGCAACUGACACUGAGGCUCGAAAGUGUGGGUAUCAAACAGGAUUAGAUACCCUGGUAGUC
This 460-nucleotide ribosomal RNA is filed under the name uncultured bacterium. RNAcentral's name for it is "partial 16S ribosomal RNA". It matches the Rfam family "Bacterial small subunit ribosomal RNA", at positions 338 to 795 of the family's 1533-position model. The record is from RNAcentral.